AUGGUUAAUGAAGGCAUUGUCUUGCGGCAUAAAAUUUCUGAAAGAGGUAUUGAAGUUGAUAAAGCUAAAGUUGAUGCUAUUGAAAAGAUGCCAUGUGCCAAGGACAUUAAAGGUAUAAGAAGUUUCCUUGGUCAUGCCGGUUUUUAUAGGAGGUUCAUUAAGGACUUUUCUAAAAUCUCUAGGCCUCUAACUAAUUUAUUGCAAAAAGAUAUUCCUUUUGUCUUUGAUGAUGAUUGUGUAGAAGCAUUUGAAAUACUUAAGAAAUCUUUGAUCACUGCACCUAUUGUUCAGCCACAUGAUUGGAAUUUACCCUUUGAAAUUAUGUGUGAUGCUAGUGAUUAUGCUGUAGGUGAUGUUCUAGGGCAAAGAGUUGAUAAGAAAUUAAAUGUUAUCCAGUAUGCUAGUAAAACUCUUGACACUGCCCAGAGAAAUUAUGCUACUACUGAAUAA
This 450-nucleotide ribosomal RNA is filed under the name Triticum aestivum (bread wheat). Its description in RNAcentral is "partial small subunit ribosomal RNA". The record is from RNAcentral. Lineage: Eukaryota; Viridiplantae; Streptophyta; Magnoliopsida; Poales; Poaceae.